GAUGAAGAACGCAGCGAAAUGCGAUAAGUAAUGUGAAUUGCAGAAUUCAGUGAAUCAUCGAAUCUUUGAACGCACAUUGCGCCCGCCAGUAUUCUGGCGGGCAUGCCUGUUCGAGCGUCAUUACAACCCUCAGGCCCCCGGGCCUGGCGUUGGGGAUCGGCGGAAGCCCCCUGCGGGCACACCGCCGUCCCCCAAAUACAGUGGCGGUCCCGCCGCAGCUUCCAUUGCGUAGUAGCUAACACCUCGCAACUGGAGAGCGGCGCGGCCACGCCGUAAAACACCCAACUUCUGAAUGUUGACCUCGAAUCAGGUAGGAAUACCCGCUGAACUUAAGCAUAUCAAUAAGCGGAGGA
RNAcentral lists this unclassified non-coding RNA (353 nucleotides) under soil metagenome. RNAcentral describes it as "partial contains 5.8S ribosomal RNA, internal transcribed spacer 2, and large subunit ribosomal RNA". The stretch from base 1 to 120 matches the Rfam family "5.8S ribosomal RNA", at positions 35 to 154 of the family's 154-position model. The record is from RNAcentral.